ACACAACUCUCGACAACGGAUAUCUUGGCUCUUGCAUCGAUGAAGAACGUAGCAAAAUGCGAUACGUGGUGUGAAUUGCAGAAUCCCGUGAACCAUCGAGUUUUUGAACGCAAGUUGCGCCCAAAGCCUUUUGGCCGAGGGCACGUCUGCCUGGGUGUCGCAA
This 163-nucleotide ribosomal RNA is filed under the name Tristicha trifaria. Its description in RNAcentral is "5.8S ribosomal RNA". It matches the Rfam family "5.8S ribosomal RNA". Rfam says of the family: 5.8S ribosomal RNA (5.8S rRNA) is a component of the large subunit of the eukaryotic ribosome. It is transcribed by RNA polymerase I as part of the 45S precursor that also contains 18S and 28S rRNA. The record is from RNAcentral. Lineage: Eukaryota; Viridiplantae; Streptophyta; Magnoliopsida; Malpighiales; Podostemaceae.